AUUGAACGCUGGCGGCAUGCUUUACACAUGCAAGUCGAACGGUAACAGGCCGCAAGGUGCUGACGAGUGGCGAACGGGUGAGUAAUGCAUCGGAACGUGCCCAGUCGUGGGGGAUAACUACUCGAAAGAGUAGCUAAUACCGCAUACGAUCUAUGGAUGAAAGCGGGGGACCGUAAGGCCUCGCGCGAUUGGAGCGGCCGAUGUCAGAUUAGGUAGUUGGUGGGGUAAAGGUUCACCAAGCCAACGAUCUGUAGCUGGUCUGAGAGGACGACCAGCCACACUGGGACUGAGACACGGCCCAGACUCCUCCGGGAGGCAGCAGUGGGGAAUUUUGGACAAUGGGCGCAAGCCUGAUCCAGCAAUGCCGCGUGCAGGAAGAAGGCCUUCGGGUUGUAAACUGCUUUUGUACGGAACGAAACGGCUCUGGUUAAUACCCGGGGCUAAUGACGGUACCGUAAGAAUAAGCACCGGCUAACUACGUG
Molecule: ribosomal RNA, 482 nt
Filed under: uncultured bacterium
Lineage: Bacteria
Description: partial 16S ribosomal RNA
Rfam family: Bacterial small subunit ribosomal RNA
Source: RNAcentral